Molecule: long non-coding RNA, 1565 nt
Organism: Scylla paramamosain (green mud crab)
Lineage: Eukaryota; Metazoa; Arthropoda; Malacostraca; Decapoda; Portunidae
Exons: 2
Source: RefSeq, a predicted model, not a curated record
AUUGUCAAAAUACGAUGAUGGAACCUUCAGUCAUCUUGAUUGUACUAAAGAAGCUAGAGUGCCUGCUGCCACGACUCCCUGCCCACUGCCGCUACACUCGGCGGUAAGCUGAAAUGCCUGCUGCACUUGGGGCCAGCUGUCGGCGAUCGGCUACUGGCUGCCCUUGUCUUCUGAGUCUGCCCCUUCCUCGUCCUUCUAAUGGUGAGGACGGUGCCACAUAACGGACAACUUUGGCGAUGGCAUUCCGAAACCGUUACCACGAGUGGAUGCCCUUCCUAACCUCGAACCCGCAGCCAGGGCCAGGUCAGCAUUCCAACCCGAGCAGCUGAGGAUCCAUGGGCCUCCACGCUUUAUCACUGCUCCAAGGCGGUCCCCUUAUUAUUAUUAUUAUUAUUAUUAUUAUUAUUAUUAUUAUUAUUAUUAUUAUUAUAAUUAUUAUUAUUAUUACUAUUAUUAUUAUUAUUAUUAUUGAUUGAUUGAUUUAUUAAUGCUUAUAUAAAUCCAUGAAGCUACAAUGAUUCGUCUAGUACCACGCGUAUUCGUAACUACUUUUUUAAUUCUUUAUAUCUCAUCGACGUGUUCAGUUUUUUCCUUAACAUUUUGGUGAUUUUUCUGGUAAAAUGUGGUCUUUAACUUCUGUUUAUAUAUAUGAAGCAAAAGCAUACACUAACAUUCACCUCAACACCGAUAUUUAGACUUUAUAUGUGUUUAUUGCAUCGUGGUGUGGCUCAUUUGCUUAUUUAGUAAUACAAUGCAAACACCAUAUCUUCACUCUGUCAUCCAUUUCACUGUUAAACUCUGGAACUCUCUACCAUUUUUCUUUUUUGUUCUUUUCUAUGACUGCACAUUAAUCAGCGAGCCUUUGUGAAUAAUUUCUUUCAGUCACAUACUGAACACCCUUGACGCGUAAAGUAAAUAAAUAAAUAAAUAAAUAAAUAAGCAGAGCUUCAACAUUUUCUCAUAUAAAUUUCUUACAAAUUUAGAUUUAAGUAGUGAACAAGUCUGAAGGUAAAUCGUUAUGACAAGUUCUAAUAACUUUCGUUAAUGAGGUCACGGUGCUGCAGCCUCAAGGUCGUGGUGUGGUUUGAGGGGUCGCUGACACCCUGUGCUCCCUCACCAUCAUUACUUCCCCCACCUCAGCUUCUCAUCUUCCUCAUCUCCUUUACCACCCUCACCUCCCACGCCUAAUUUUCCUCCCCUCCCUAACCUCCUCACCACCCUCACCUGCCUCACCUCCCUCACCUCUCCACCUUCCUCACCUUCCCCCCGCCUCGUCAUGUUCUCCUGCCACAGACAAAACACUGAUCUCGAGAGGAAAGUUGGUCUUGUUCUAAUCUUGGAAAUCCAUCCAUACAUAAGAGGAUUUGUUGAUUUUUUUAUUUUUUAUUUUGUGAGUAUAAUAAGUGAGCGUUGAAUGUUCCACUCUGAAAUAUUACUUUAAAUUCAUUUUGACACACGUUGAUCUUUGCCCUAUUUAUUUAUUUAUUUAUUUAUUUAUUUAUUUAUUUAUUUAUUUACUUACCUAUUAUUUAUGGUGAUUAAAGCUGUAAAUGACAAAAGAAAAA